UGAAGCUUCACUAAGAGAAGAAAGAAGAGAGGAAGGGGCCAACAAGGCGAAAGGAAUAAAUCAUUGAGAAGAGUCACCACCGAAGACGUCCAAGAAUCCCACCUCUUAUCAGUGUUUCCCUGUUCCUUACGUGGACCUGACGGAUAGCCUAGGGACCCUUACUGGAUACAGACGCCCUGGUUUGGAGUCGAUCCAACGACUCCUGUUCCAAAAGGCAUGUAGUCUGUAGUUUUCAGCAUUUCAUUCUGACAUUCAUUCUUUUCGGUUGUCGCACUAGCCUCUCUUCAUCUCGGUCUCUCUAUAUUCACUGCCCAUCCAUUUCUCCAUCAUAUCUUUAAUUGUCUCUCCUGUCAAAUUGUAUUCAAGUUUUAAUUUGUAUUAAAUGUUUAAUUUUGCACCAUUUUUGAUAAGAGUAGAAAAUUUUAUGCUAUAUAAAUGUGAACUGCAAUAGUCUGUAGUUCUGUAUGAUAGGAUUUUGAUUAUGAAUGUUGUUUAUUAAAAUGAGCCUAUAGGCACCACUCUAAUUACCAAGGGUAUUGUAUCUAUGUAAUUAGACACACUGAGUGUAGAUAUGAUCAGAGUUGAGGGACCUGAUGUUCUUUCACACCUUGUCCAGCAUCUCUUCCUUUCUCAGUGCUGGGCUGACAGUGACUUUGCAUUGUCACUUUUAUGUUUUCAGGGAAGAAACUGACAUUUGUGUACAAAUUUUUACCAGCCCUGUUGUGAUAAUCUUACUUUAAAAAUAAAAACCUAAUUUUAAACUGUAUUUUAGCCCUUGACACAAAUUGUAUGUGUCUGCUGGGUAGAUUUGAGUUAUCAGGUGGCAGCAUGCAAGUUAAGUGAUCAAUUAACUAGCGACCUGUGUUUAACAGUGCAACUACAGUUUAGUGGAAGUAUAUUUCAUAUGAUGCCAGAUGAUGAAUAGCAAUAUCACUCCUGUCACCUGUAUCAUGAGGAAUUGAUCUGUGAAAUCCUGAGGAUAACCAAACCUAAUGAUGAGAGCUGGGUCUACAUCCCAAAGCGUCGUCUUCAAGCCCCAAAGCCUUGUCAGUUCAAGAGUGUGAGAUGUGGUGUACAGGAGCAUACUGUCAUAUUCCACAUCCACAGGAUUCUGUAUUGUACAGUUUGCCCCCAUGGUCAGACUGUCAAUGCUGAGUUUUACUGAAAUGCAAAGAGGUGUGUUACAGACUAAUAAGACAAAUAAAAUGUAAUGCAAUGUGUUGGCAGUCUUGUGGGUUUAGAAGUGAGAUGUCUAUUAAUUGCAAACCUUCUGUAAUUUCUCCGUGAGGGCUUGUAUUUUGUCCAAGUGAGACUAUGAUUGUUUAGAGGCAUAUUGGCUCCCACCAAGCAACCUGUGCAAUUCUCUUGCAACCAAUUAGUUAAGUGGACAUCACCGUAAACAUCUGAGAACCAGCUGCUUACCAAAGGAUUGUAAAAAAAAAAAAAAUUAAUAAUAAAAAAAAUGCAGUGAAGUCAUCUGGCAACCACCUAUUUUAUGUAUAGUCACCAGGAGGUUUCAUCAUAUUUUUAGUCUAGUGAGUCAGAAUGUAGAUACGAAUAACACAAUUCAAAAAUAUAUGGGCGUGGGAAAUAAAAAAAUAAAAUAAAAAAAGAGGAAAUUUUAGAUCUUAUCUACUUGGUGGCAUAUCUCACAGCUGAUGUUAAAUAGAUCAAUAAACUGAAUGAGUAUAGAAGAAGCCAGUAUUUUGUUGAGAUGAAGAGCCAGCAGCUUUUUCUGGUUGUUUGCAUAUUGGAUAAACUUAUCUUUCACAGGAAAUUGAUGGAGGACAGCAUGCUUGGCAAACUGCCUGUCAAGGACUAAGCAGUAAACC
This is a long non-coding RNA of Haplochromis burtoni (Burton's mouthbrooder), 1832 nucleotides long. RefSeq lists it as uncharacterized. The record is from RefSeq and is a predicted model, not a curated record. The transcript is spliced from 2 exons. NCBI's taxonomy places the organism in Eukaryota, Metazoa, Chordata, Actinopteri, Cichliformes, Cichlidae.